CAGUCGCCGCGGUAAUACGGAGGGGGCUAGCGUUGUUCGGAUUUACUGGGCGUAAAGCGCACGUAGGCGGAUCGAUCAGUCAGGGGUGAAAUCCCAGAGCUCAACUCUGGAACUGCCUUUGAUACUGUCGAUCUGGAGUAUGGAAGAGGUGAGUGGAAUUCCGAGUGUAGAGGUGAAAUUCGUAGAUAUUCGGAGGAACACCAGUGGCGAAGGCGGCUCACUGGUCCAAUACUGACGCUCAUGCACGAAAGCGUGGGGAGCAAACAGGAUUAGAUACCCCAGUAGUCCCUGUCUCUUAUAC
Molecule: ribosomal RNA, 301 nt
Filed under: uncultured bacterium
Lineage: Bacteria
Description: partial 16S ribosomal RNA
Rfam family: Bacterial small subunit ribosomal RNA
Source: RNAcentral